Molecule: long non-coding RNA, 231 nt
Filed under: Monodelphis domestica (gray short-tailed opossum)
Lineage: Eukaryota; Metazoa; Chordata; Mammalia; Didelphimorphia; Didelphidae
Description: lncRNA (ENSMODG00000046204.1)
Source: RNAcentral
GAUAGAUUCUUUUAAUAUUCUGAUACUAGGAGCUCUUUUUUUCCAAAUGAGUGGCAAAUGAUUCCUGUAGAAUUUUCAAUCUUUUCAGGAUAUUAAUGAAUGAGAAUAGCAAAGGCCCUGGCAACCAGAAAUCUGCAAACAAGAGGCAUCUUCAUCCUACAUUUAUUGAAUAUUGUCUACCCAGUUCCUAUCCAAUGCCUUUCAGAAGAGUAUAAUGACAUAAUUUAGGAG